This 253-nucleotide ribosomal RNA is filed under the name uncultured bacterium. Its description in RNAcentral is "partial 16S ribosomal RNA". It matches the Rfam family "Bacterial small subunit ribosomal RNA", at positions 524 to 776 of the family's 1533-position model. The record is from RNAcentral.
UACGGGGGGGGCAAGCGUUGUUCGGAAUUACUGGGCGUAAAGGGCUCGUAGGCGGCCAACUAAGUCAUACGUGAAAUCCCUCGGCUUAACCGGGGAACUGCGUCUGAUACUGGAUGGCUUGAGUUCGGGAGAGGGAUGCGGAAUUCCUGGUGUAGCGGUGAAAUGCGCAGAUAUCAGGAGGAACACCGGUGGCGAAGGCGGGUCUCUGGGCCGUAACUGACGCUGAGGAGCGAAAGCGUGGGGAGCGAACAGG